UUGAACGCUGGCGGCAUGCUUUACACAUGCAAGUCGAACGGUAACAGGUUAAGCUGACGAGUGGCGAACGGGUGAGUAAUGCAUCGGAACGUGCCCGAUCGUGGGGGAUAACGCAGCGAAAGCUGCGCUAAUACCGCAUACGAUCUGAGGAUGAAAGCGGGGGACCGUAAGGCCUCGCGCGAUCGGAGCAGCCGAUGUCAGAUUAGGUAGUUGGUGGGGUAAAGGCUCACCAAGCCGACGAUCUGUAGCUGGUCUGAGAGGACGACCAGCCACACUGGGACUGAGACACGGCCCAGACUCCUACGGGAGGCAGCAGUGGGGAAUUUUGGACAAUGGGCGAAGGCCUGAUCCAGCAAUGCCGCGUGCAGGAAGAAGGCCUUCGGGUUGUAAACUGCUUUUGUACGGAACGAAAAGAUCUCUUCUAAUAAAGGGUAUUCAUGACGGUACCGUAAGAAUAAGCACCGGCUAACUACGU
RNAcentral lists this ribosomal RNA (475 nucleotides) under uncultured bacterium. Its description in RNAcentral is "bacterial SSU rRNA". It matches the Rfam family "Bacterial small subunit ribosomal RNA", at positions 30 to 506 of the family's 1533-position model. The record is from RNAcentral.